RNAcentral lists this ribosomal RNA (253 nucleotides) under uncultured bacterium. RNAcentral's name for it is "partial 16S ribosomal RNA". It matches the Rfam family "Bacterial small subunit ribosomal RNA", at positions 524 to 776 of the family's 1533-position model. The record is from RNAcentral.
GACGGGGGAUGCAAGCGUUAUCCGGAAUCACUGGGCGUAAAGCGUCUGUAGGUGGUGAUGCAAGUCACUGGUGCAAAACUCUGGCUCAACCGGAGGAAAGCCAGUGAAACUGCAUGACUAGAGUGUGGGAGAGGUAGAAGGAAUUCCCUGAGUAGCGGUGAAAUGCGUAGAUACAGGGAAGAACACCGGAGGCGAAAGCGUUCUACUGGAACACAACUGACGCUGAGGUACGAAAGCUAGGGGAGCGAAUGGG